This 1470-nucleotide ribosomal RNA is filed under the name Triticum aestivum (bread wheat). RNAcentral describes it as "partial small subunit ribosomal RNA". The record is from RNAcentral. Lineage: Eukaryota; Viridiplantae; Streptophyta; Magnoliopsida; Poales; Poaceae.
CUUUCUGCAGAUUAUACAUUGACCGACCGUGAUGUAUGUGCUCAUAUAGCAAUAGAAACAUCUUUUGAAAAACAAUUGCUGGUGAAGAUAGAUGAAAUAUCUGUGAAACAACAUCAAAUGAUGUGCCUGCUAAAUGAAAAAGAGUGGCUAAAUGAUGAUGUAAUCAGCGCAUAUAUAUGUUGUAUAAAGGACCAAGUAUAGGUCCAGAAUGAUAGUAAAGUAUAUUUUGAGAAUCCCUUUGUUACCGCACUGUUAAAACGGGAUGGCAAGCUUGGAAUACAUGAAGAUGGUACCUUUAUGACAGAGAUUGUCAAAACCUAUGUGAAUCAUGACAUGAUUAAACUUCCAAUAAAUAUGAACAAUACACAUUGGUAUUUGGCUGUUGUGAAUGCAAAAAAGUGUGAGAUUCAAGUACUGGACUCACUGUGUUGUGAGUUUAACCGAGAUGAUCUCACUGCUACGCUACAAGGGCUACAAUAUCAUUUGGACAUUCUGAAAAGUCAAAUUUUUAUUAGUCCUAAUUGGAAAGACUUUGAUGUUAGUAAAUGGAAUAUAGUAGAACAACUACAGAAGCCAAUUCAAAAAGAUAGUUCAUAUUGUGGUCUAUUUAUGCUUAAAUUCAUGGAAUAUUGAACUGGAUAUGCACUAUCCUAUCCAAUUACACAGGAUAUUAUUACUUCUUUUAGGUAUAAGUUAGCCAGCAUACUAUUAUGUUGGAAAACAAAUACUGCUGGAAUGACUACAACAGCCGAACAAAGUGAUGACGACACUAAGGAGAAUGAUGUGGAAAUGUUGGAAAGUCUAGAUAAUAAUAAAAAAACUGAAAAUAAAUAUGAAUCAUUAUUAUCUGUUCUUUCUAACAUAAGCCCACAGGAGUUGAUGGGUGGAAUUUGCAGCUACAUCCAAUCAAUCGAUUCCACUGAGAUUUUAGAGAAAGUAUGGGUACAGAGCUCCAACCCAUAUACAAUUAGGUUGACUCUCAAACAACUACAAACAAUUCUAAAUGACGAUUCUCCCUUGGAUCUUGAUUGUUUCAAUAUGGUCGUGCGCAAAUUUAUGUUUGACGACAUUCAAACGGCCAAAAAGAAAAAGGGAUUGAUAUCAAAACAUUAUUUAGACAUGCAAUUUUGGUUAGAUGUGGAACAACUAGCAUAUUCUGUUCGUAGUUGGCCUGGUUUCAACUAUAAUAUUUCAGCAUGCAAAUCGAUUCAUAUUCUAGUACAUUCCAAUGGUGAUUUCAUUCUCUUCAUAUUGGACAAAGAUACACAUACUGUCCAUAUUUUGGAUCCUACCCCUAUCGAUCCUAUCUACCAAUAUAAUCCACAUGCAAAAUAUUUGCACAGACUUAUAUGGAUUGCAGAAUAUUUAUCGAAAGCAAUGUCAAAGGCAUGCCCUGGGUCUAGAUGGAAUGAGAAUAUUCUCCUAUGGUGGCAUAAAAUCGUAGAUGAUAUUCCCGUUUACAACAGGUAA